AACACUUCUCUUCCGGUGUAUAUAUGUGCUUGGAAUCUACAUAUUGCUAAGUGGGUGCUGUGCUAUUUUUAGGAUUCACAGUUUAGGUACUGUAGCUGCAGCAGUAGAGUGAGAAGCAAUACGUAACAGAAUUCCAUUGGAUUCUGAGAGGGCUCAGUUUGUUCCAAAGAGUUCAUUGAAGAAUCUGCACUGCACUUUAUGUCAUUACACCUCUUUGACGUUUGUAUUUACAGAAUAUUGCGGGUGCCAGAUCCCACGGAUUUGAUUAUUGUAUUUAAAUAAUACUGGCUGUUACUGAGGUCCCAGGCAGCGUGAUGUCUCAGCCAAUGAGGGGUUUUACGAGCACCCCUUACAGAAGCCUCAGAUGCUGGGUACCUCUCUCAUCUCCUCCCGAGGGGCGGCUUUCCAAGUCAUAACCCUCAUAUGUGUUUUCGGUUGCCGGGUCCUCCGCCCCUGGGAUGUCGACAGCGUCGGCCCCAGUCGGUGACCUCUUUUCUAUCCUGUUUCGGUUGCCGGGUCCUCCGCCCCUGGGAUGUCGACAGCGUCGGCCCCAGUCGGUGACCUCUUUUCUAUCCUGUUUCGGUUGCCGGGUCCUCCGCCCCUGGGAUGUCGACAGCGUCGGCCCCAGUCGGUGACCUCUUUUCUAUCCUGUUUCGGUUGCUGGGUCCUCUGCCCCUGGGAUGUGCGACAGCGUUGCCCUCAGUCAGUAACCACAUUCUGUCCUACUAACUGCUCCUUGCUGCUUCUUCUGCCUUAUCCUUCCCCCCCAGCUCACGCCCAGUGAAAUAUAUAUAUAUGGACUCCAGUGCCACAGUACUGCAUACAAAUUAUAUUGAAAUGGGAUGGGAUUUGUACAGCAUUUUGCAGUGAUCUUACAGUGAGGAGAUGCAUUAGGGAGUAGUACAGGUAGUAAAUGUUUUGUUCACCUUUCAUUUGGGCACAAAUAAAGCAACAACAAAACUAGCAAAGAACCAAGAUAUUCCUGUCACAAUGAAAGGUGUUGUUCGAAACCAAGAAAGAAAAUAGUAAAUUGAUAAACCGGGAUUACUGCUUUUACAAAAGGCAGCACGUUUCUGAUGAACUAACCCACCCCCCUUAUCUUUUUAUAAUGUUUACUAUCAUUGUGAGUGCUUCUUAUUGCAAUUACUCAAUAUGUAGCUUGUUUACUGUGCUUGACAAUGAGUUCAGAAACUACUCUUCAGUUCUAGUCGCCUGCCAUAGACAUCUGUAUUGUAGGGUAUAUCAGUCGGUGUCUUUUAAAGUAGUAAGAACCAGCACCAUGUAUAUUUCCAGCAGUACUAAAGGAAACUUGAUCCAAAAUAGCUGAUUACUAGAAGUGUCUUUAUAUAACUGUUUAAGAGGGGAAUCUUUUCUUGUUUGUGUUUCUAUGCUUUUGAUUAUGCUUAUGCUACUUCUACCAACAUUACAUCUAAGAUGUGCUGGUGUAAAAUCUUCCUUAAUUGCUUAAAAGUGGGUAUUAUUGAAGUACUUUUAUUUUUUUAUUAUUUUGUAGCAUUUUAGCUAGAGAAGAUGUUGUUUAUGUUGUGUAAGAAUAUCUUGUUUAGCUUCUGGCAGUGAGGUAUAGUGAGUUUUCAGGUCAUUUCAGGACAUAUUAAAAAAAAAAAAAAAGAAAAGACAAAAAGAAA
Long non-coding RNA from Acipenser ruthenus (sterlet), 1646 nucleotides. RefSeq lists it as uncharacterized. Lineage: Eukaryota; Metazoa; Chordata; Actinopteri; Acipenseriformes; Acipenseridae. The transcript has 2 exons. The record is from RefSeq and is a predicted model, not a curated record.